AGGGUUAAUUAGUAUUAAUUAAUGAGAUUAAUUAAUAAUUUUGCUGUAAAAUAGUAAUUUUGAAAAAGUUUUAAAAUUAUCAUUUUGCCCCUGCACUAAAUUUUCGCUUCAGCCCCACCACUCUCUGGCAAGUCACGACAACGGACACCACUCCACUCUCCAUAACAAACUCCACGUGGCCCUGAAUGGCCCACUGACGCCACUACUCUCCGUAACAAACUCCACGUGGUCCCGAACGGCUCACUAUCAGGCAAUUACGGAUGUCGCUAUCAAUCAGUUACACUCUCCCAUCUAUAAGAGGGACCCCCAGAUACAUUCUUCUUUAAGCUCUAAACUCUAUCUCAAAACUUUGCUAAAAUUCCAUUCGAGUGCUCCAUUUCUGUUGAGACAGAGUACUGACUUGAGCAUCGGAGGGUCUUGCCGGAGCACCCCCAUCUCUGGUUUAGACUUUCCUUGCAAGUCCCGGUGGCGGCC
Molecule: long non-coding RNA, 474 nt
Filed under: Elaeis guineensis (African oil palm)
Lineage: Eukaryota; Viridiplantae; Streptophyta; Magnoliopsida; Arecales; Arecaceae
Description: long non-coding RNA (EGUI_LNC067795)
Source: RNAcentral